GGGUGAAUUUUCCGCAAUGGGCGAAAGCCUGACGGAGCAACGCCGCGUGAGGGAGGAAGGCCUGUGGGUUGUAAACCUCUUUUCUCAGGGAAGAAGUUCUGACGGUACCUGAGGAAUCAGCAUCGGCUAACUCCGUGCCAGCAGCCGCGGUAAGACGGAGGAUGCAAGCGUUAUCCGGAAUUAUUGGGCGUAAAGCGUCCGUAGGCGGUUCAGAAAGUCUGCUGUUAAAGCUCACAGCUCAACUGUGAAUCGGCAGUGGAAACUUCUGGACUAGAGAGUGGUAGGGGUAGAGGGAAUUCCUAGUGUAGCGGUGAAAUGCGUAGAUAUUAGGAAGAACACCAGUGGCGAAGGCGCUCUACUGGGCCAUUACUGACGCUGAUGGACGAAAGCUAGGGGAGCGAAAGGGAUUAGAUACCCCUGUAGUCCUAGCUGUAAACGAUGGACACUAGGUGUUGGCCGUAUCGACCCGGUCAGUAUCGAAGCAAACGCGUUAAGUGUCC
Molecule: ribosomal RNA, 500 nt
Filed under: uncultured cyanobacterium
Lineage: Bacteria; Bacillati; Cyanobacteriota
Description: bacterial SSU rRNA
Rfam family: Bacterial small subunit ribosomal RNA
Source: RNAcentral